This 358-nucleotide unclassified non-coding RNA is filed under the name soil metagenome. RNAcentral's name for it is "partial contains 5.8S ribosomal RNA, internal transcribed spacer 2, and large subunit ribosomal RNA". The stretch from base 1 to 120 matches the Rfam family "5.8S ribosomal RNA", at positions 35 to 154 of the family's 154-position model. The record is from RNAcentral.
GAUGAAGAACGCAGCGAAAUGCGAUAAGUAAUGUGAAUUGCAGAAUUCAGUGAAUCAUCGAAUCUUUGAACGCACAUUGCGCCCGUCAGUAUUCUGGCGGGCAUGCCUGUUCGAGCGUCAUUACGCCCCUCAAGUCCCCUGUGGACUUGGUGUUGGGGAUCGGCGAGGCUGGUUUUCCAGCACAGCCAUCCCUUAAAUUAAUUGGCGGUCUCGCCGUGGCCCUCCUCUGCGCAGUAGUAAAACACUCGCAACAGGAGCCCGGCGCGGUCCACUGCCGUAAAACCCCCCAACUUUUUAUAGUUGACCUCGAAUCAGGUAGGACUACCCGCUGAACUUAAGCAUAUCAAUAAGCGGAGGA